This 852-nucleotide long non-coding RNA is filed under the name Anas platyrhynchos platyrhynchos (common mallard). Its description in RNAcentral is "lncRNA (ENSAPLG00000021806.1)". The record is from RNAcentral. Lineage: Eukaryota; Metazoa; Chordata; Aves; Anseriformes; Anatidae.
UGCACCUGUUAAAAUUUCUACCUCAUGACGAAUGAUACCAUUUCAAACUUUUAUAUUAUGGGUAUUAAAAAUAACAAUAACAAUAAUAAUAUAUAUAUAUAAUACCAAGUAUCCUGUUUAUACUUUUUUUUUUUUUUUUUUUUAGACAAGAUUUCUGUAGGAUCUUGUGGGCAUGGAGGUCCCUCUCUCCACCUCUUCUCUCAUCAGCUUUUCACUUUCUCACCACUCUGUUUUUGUGAGGAGACUGGGACUUGUUCCCAAGGAUGUCUGCCAUGCAGCUGAGAUGGUAGCAUAGAGUGGGACUAGGGUUAUCAGAACCUAUCUUCUGCCCAUCUUUGUUGAGAUGCAGUGCUGCCUGUCCCCAUAAAGCACUCUCUCUUACCCAAGGCCAAAGCAGGUCUACAUGACUCCACAUGUUCACGGCUCUGUUUGAAGACUGUGAUGAAGAAAUGGGAGGUGUGAUAGAAGAGGAGGAGUACAGCUUGUCUUUCCCCUGACCUCCCAUCUGCUGAACUGAGGAAGCCAGCUCAAGGAAGCAGAGUAGCAGGGGCCAAAUAAGACCCAUGGGAAAUUCAGGCUGUUAUGCUCUGUGAACAAGACCGGCCUACUCUAGAGGAAGCUAGCUUUGAGCCAUGUGGACAUAAGGCACUUUGCAUGACUUUGCUUUCAGGCCAUGGAUUGCUCUCUGGGAUUCACUAUUAAAUCCAUUCAAAAGGAAGAGAUUUUCAUUUCAAAGCUCUGGAUUUUCCAGGAGAAAUGUAUCUAUAUGUUUCCAGGAAGCAAUGGUCUUGCUGUGCCUGAGCUAUACAGAUUGCCUGACUGUGCACAGAAAAUCAGAUGCAUUGACCUGCC